AGAGAGAGACAUGCGCGCAUAUCAAUAAGCGGAGGAAAAGAAAUUAACAAGGAUUCCCUUAGUAACGGCGAGUGAAGCUGGAAGAGCUCAAAUUUGAAAUCUUCAAGGUUUUACCUUGACGAAUUGUAGUUUAAAGAAGUGUUUUCUGCCUGAAGUUUUGGUAAAAGUUCUUUGGAAUAGGACAUCAUAGAGGGUGAGAAUCCCGUAUUUGACCAUUAUUUUCAGCUUUGUGAUACACUUUCAAAGAGUCGGAUUGUUUGGGAAUGCAGUCCAAAAUGGGUGGUAAAUUUCAUCUAAAGCUAAAUAUUGGCGAGAGACCGAUAGCGAACAAGUACCGUGAGGGAAAGAUGAAAAGAACUUUGAAAAGAGAGUUAAACAGUACGUGAAAUUGUCAAAAGGGAAGCGUUUGACACCAGUGUUGUUUUCUCGAAAAUCAAUUAAAAAUGGCUCGAUUUUGUAUUGUUGAGACCUUAAAAGCUCACUGUACAUUUUUCGUGUCCUUUUUUAAUGCACUUUUCGUUUAACAAGUCAACAUCAGUUUCUUUUGUUGUAAAAGGGUCAUUGGAAGGUGGCUUUCUUUUCGGAGAAAGUGUUUAUAGCCUUUGGCCUCUGCAAUCGGAGAGACUGAGGUCUGCAGCGUAGACUCUUCGGGGUUAGAUACAUUUGUGCUAAGUUAUAGCUUUUUAUAGACAACUUGUUGACUAUAAUUAGUCUUGUAGCUUACUCGCUUAUGCUAUUUUACCUACGCUUAGGAUGUUGAGUCGUAGAGCACGCAG
RNAcentral lists this ribosomal RNA (776 nucleotides) under uncultured Neocallimastigales. Its description in RNAcentral is "partial large subunit ribosomal RNA". It matches the Rfam family "Eukaryotic large subunit ribosomal RNA", at positions 23 to 634 of the family's 3401-position model. Lineage: Eukaryota; Fungi; Neocallimastigomycota; Neocallimastigomycetes; Neocallimastigales. The record is from RNAcentral.